Molecule: ribosomal RNA, 253 nt
Filed under: uncultured bacterium
Lineage: Bacteria
Description: partial 16S ribosomal RNA
Rfam family: Bacterial small subunit ribosomal RNA
Source: RNAcentral
UACAGAGGGUGCAAGCGUUGUUCGGAAUCAUUGGGCGUAAAGGGCGCGUAGGCGGUCUCACCAGUCGAAUGUGAAAGCCCAGGGCUCAACCUUGGAAGUGCAUUCGAUACUAGGAGACUUGAGUCUCGGAGAGGGUGGUGGAAUUCCCAGUGUAGAGGUGAAAUUCGUAGAUAUUGGGAGGAACACCGGUGGCGAAGGCGACCACCUGGACGAAGACUGACGCUGAGGCGCGAAAGCGUGGGGAGCAAACAGG